This 658-nucleotide long non-coding RNA is filed under the name Homo sapiens (human). RNAcentral's name for it is "non-protein coding lnc-ZNF680-22:1". The record is from RNAcentral. Lineage: Eukaryota; Metazoa; Chordata; Mammalia; Primates; Hominidae.
AUGGCCCAUCCAGUUCAAUUAGGUCUUCAAGAUGCUUCAUCCCCUACUAUAGAAGAACUACUUACCUUCCAUGACCACACUCUUAUAAUUAUUUUCCUAAUUAGUUUCCUGGUUCUAUACAUUAUUUCUCUAAUACAACAAAGCUGAUUCAUACUAGCACUAUAGAUGCCCAAGAAAUAAAGACUGUCUGAACUAUCUUGCCUGCCAUCAGCUUAAUCUUAAUUGCCCUCCCAUCCCUAUGUAUUCUGUACAUAACAGAUGAAAUCAAUAAUCCCCCUCUCACCAUUAAAACAAUUGGACAUCAAUGGUAUUGAAGCUACGAGUAUAUAGAUUAUGAAGAAUUAAGUUUCGAUUCUUAUAUACUUCCAACAGCCAACUUAAAACCAGAAGAACUUCAACUCCUCGAAUUCGAUAACCAAACAUCCUCUCAAUAGAAAUUCUCAUCCGCAUGUUAAUCUCAUCCAAAGAUAUCCUGCACUCAUGAACUAUUCCCUCAUUAGGGUUAAAAACAGAUGCAAUCCCUGGACGCUUAAACCAAUUUGCCUUAACCACUACAUGACCAGGCCUCUACUAUGGACAAUGCUCAGAAAUGUGUGGAUCUAACCACAGCUUUAUAUCUAUUGUUUUAAAAUUAGUCCCAUUAAAAACUUUCAAAACU